RNAcentral lists this ribosomal RNA (229 nucleotides) under uncultured bacterium. Its description in RNAcentral is "partial 16S ribosomal RNA". It matches the Rfam family "Bacterial small subunit ribosomal RNA", at positions 568 to 796 of the family's 1533-position model. The record is from RNAcentral.
UGCGUAGGCGGAAUAUUAAGUCAGUGGUGAAAUCCUGCGGCUCAACCGUAGAACUGCCAUUGAUACUGAUAUUCUUGAAUGUAGUUGAGGUAGGCGGAAUGUGUAAUGUAGCGGUAAAAUGCUUAGAUAUUACACAGAACACCGAUUGCGAAGGCAGCUUACUAAACUAUGAUUGACGCUGAGGCACGAAAGCGUGGGGAGCGAACAGGAUUAGAUACCCUGGUAGUCC